UACGUAGGUGGCAAGCGUUUUCCGGAUUUACUGGGCGUAAAGAGCGCGCAGGCGGUCGUUCAAGUCGCGUGUGAAAGCCCCCCGGCUCAACUGGGGAGGGUCACGCGAUACUGAUCGACUCGAAGGCAGGAGAGGGAAGUGGAAUUCCCGGUGUAGUGGUGAAAUGCGUAGAUAUCGGGAGGAACACCAGUGGCGAAGGCGGCCAUCUGGACCAGCACUGACCGCUGAGGCACGAAAGCGUGGGGAGCAAACAGGA
This 256-nucleotide ribosomal RNA is filed under the name uncultured bacterium. RNAcentral's name for it is "partial 16S ribosomal RNA". It matches the Rfam family "Bacterial small subunit ribosomal RNA", at positions 524 to 777 of the family's 1533-position model. The record is from RNAcentral.